Molecule: long non-coding RNA, 396 nt
Filed under: Helianthus annuus (common sunflower)
Lineage: Eukaryota; Viridiplantae; Streptophyta; Magnoliopsida; Asterales; Asteraceae
Description: sRNA HanXRQr2_Chr05g0202481
Source: RNAcentral
UUUGAGUUACAAGUGUUAACGAACUUGAUAACUUGUGCAGAUCUAUGCUGAACAGGUUGGAAAUUUUAUCACUGCAGAGUAUGUGGAUCUUGAAAUCCUAUGGGAUAGAGCUAAUGAUGCCAUUAACACCAUAAUUCUGGUGUUUUCUUGUAGCCUUGUAUUAAGAUUCAAAUGCGUAUUUCUCAAACUGGCUGAAUUUAUCAGUCGGGAAGUACAACUAAAUUCAAGAUUCACCUAUGCUCACACGCUUUGUGGUCAAGAGUAUGAAUUUCAUCACAAUUCUUUAUACUUGAGUAUAAAAUUUCCUACUUGGUAAUCUACGUAUGGAUUUUAUGUUUUAUUACAGAUAUUUGGCAUUGGAGGAUUUUGAAAAUGGUGGAACAUUAUCAGUUGUCC